GACAUUGCACCCUCAGUGUGCUAUCUGCAAGAGUGCUUCUGAAGCUUACUUAUUACUCAUGUGUUGAUCUCAAUGGACAUUUCAUUUUGCAGCAGACUACCUUAGAACAGAUGUUCUGCAAAGGAACUAGGAACUGUUUCAGAGAAGCACAGAAAUCCAAAGCCAGAAGAGAAUAACCCAAUAUUCUGACAUUUUGAAGUUGUUAAGAAAAGCAAGAUAUUUGAAAGAUUGGAACUAAAACAUCUGGUACUGGUAAUACAUCAGAGGCCUGAAGUUCAAGUUACGUUAUAUUGGAAGAAAUUGUGAGAUCCAAGACUGAUGAGAAGAGUGGGAGCCACUGCACUCCACUAAGCAGAACUUUCCUUAGCUCACAGGUUCUUGGGGAAACAUGAAACUCUUGGUGUCUCUUCUUCUGCAUGGCUUUCUACAGAGGCUGAUCCUUCUAUCCAGAAAGUAUUUCCACCAUUUAUUCACAGAGAUAACACUGCCAUUUUGCUCUGGAUUUGGCUCAGCAGUCACCUCUUCAGAGAGACCAAUUCUGAACACUCCAUAUAAUAAAGUCACCAAUCAGUGUUUAUUUCUUUAAGGGUUUCUUGUACCAUCACUACUAACUACCCCAAAUUUUCUAUUGUAUUUGCUUGUUUUAAUUCUUUUGUAUUUUAACUUGUUUGUUGUGUACCUCCCUACAUAAAAUGUGAACUCUGCAAGGAGAGGGAAUUCUUUUGCCCGACUACAUCUCCAGCACCUGCGAGAAAGGAUUGUGUGAAUUUAGUGUGUAUGGAUAUUUGCUGUUCUAUACUAAAAUUUGUAUCUUUUAGUCUAUUCAAAACUCAAAUAAAGGCAAAUAGGAUUUAAGCAUUUAUUAUUUACUUAAAGGGUUUUUAAAAACAUAACUCUAUCCUAUAUUAAACUCCUGAAUUAAUAAGGAAAUUUGCAAUUAUUUAAUUAUUUUUGUCUAAAAAAAGGAUUGAUAUUUU
Long non-coding RNA from Mustela erminea (ermine), 977 nucleotides. RefSeq lists it as uncharacterized. Lineage: Eukaryota; Metazoa; Chordata; Mammalia; Carnivora; Mustelidae. The transcript is spliced from 5 exons. The record is from RefSeq and is a predicted model, not a curated record.